AGCGGCCAACAGUUUCCCUUAGGCCGCGACAGGAAAUGUGUGCGGAGCGCUGCCAGGCCCGGUGCAGCCCUGAGUUAUUCUGGGGUCAGGAACACAGCUGGCGCCGGGUACAGGGGACGCAGUCGACUAGAAGGUCAAACACCCUGCUUAGAGCAAGAGGAGAAAUUCGCCACUGGGAUGAAGUGUGUGGUUUUUCUCCGUUCAGGGAGUUUCAUCAGGACCGCAGAACCCAUAACACUAGCUCUGUCACUGUCUUCCCCAAACAAGGCUGAAGCUGUGCUGCAUAUUCUUACCUAGCCUAGGAAGUCAUAAAACAUCACUCUGCUUCAUUCUGUUGGAUACUGAUGAGUCAAAACUUGCCAUUUUCAAAGGAAAAGAAUGCAGACACCUCUUAAAAGAGCAGGUAGUUAGAAUGCAACACUGGAAGAAUGUGAGUUUGAGACUAGAAAGAAAAAUUGAGGUAGCAUUCAUAUGGCAACUUCAUAUGACUUGAUGUGAGUAAAAGAGAUUUCUGCUGGAGGAUGGGGAAGUGGUCUGCAUGAGACAAAAGCUAAAAUUAUAACUUUGGGGAACUUUUGGAGGCUGAGGUCAGAGAAAUCUAAGGAGUUUCUAGUGCAGAGUCCUAGAAAUAAAAGGUGAAGAGAUUUUUGGUGCCUGAUCCCUCGUGUAAGAAACAUAAAAGUCUUCACUACAUCCUAACAGUAAGUAAAAAGCUGAACAAAC
Long non-coding RNA from Homo sapiens (human), 723 nucleotides. The record is from Ensembl. Lineage: Eukaryota; Metazoa; Chordata; Mammalia; Primates; Hominidae.